GCUGGACCCUGACCUGAGACCUGGUGACAGGAGCCAUGAGGGGCCAGGCCUCAGGUCCCACAGGUCAGUUGCAAGGGCCUAGCACAGCUAGCCCCCUGAGAGGCCUCCCUACUUAGUGGUCAGGUGUUAGGAAGGUUUGGUGGGGCCACUUGAGGUGCCCUGGGGUUGGGGUGAAACCCCUCUGCAGCCUAGUCAGCCCAAGGGCAUUGUGAAAGUGACAGCUGCCAGAGGUCUGGGUUCCAGCCCCUGGCUGACAUUAAACUUUUCUGAAUUUCGGUUUUUCCCUGUAAAUUGGGGAAAAUUACUUGCCCCAGCUUCAACACUGCCUCCCCUCCACCCUUUUGCUGCUGCCUUAUCAGGCCCCAGCUGUAGGCAGGUCAGCCCACGCCCGGCGGCAGAGCCCAGAGAGGCUCGCUCAUCUCAGCCGCCAGAAGUGUCAUCCCAGGGAAGUUACUCGGGAGGCUGAGGCAGGAGAAUCGCUUGAACCGGAGAGGCGGACGUUGCAGUGAGCCGAGGUCAAACCAGUGCACUCCAGCCUGGGCAACAGAGCGAGACUCCAUCUGAAAAAGAAACAAAAAGAAAAAAAAAUUUUGGACCCGCUGCAGCUGGGAGGGGAGCUGUCCAGGAGGCCGGCCUGGGAAUGAGCACAGGCCUGCGGCUGGCAGAGAGCCGGGUCGAGCCAGCCCUGGAGAAGCAGGCCCAGCUGGAGGAGCAGCUGCGGGACAAGGUGCUCCACGAGAAGGACCUGUCCCAGCAGCAGAUGCAAAGCGACCUGGACAAGGCUGACCUCAGUGCCAGGAGGGUCCCUGGUGGGUGCUGCAUGAGGCAGGCGUCACUGCAGAAGAGUGACAGAGCUGGGCCUGGCAGUGAAGCGUCUACAGAAGCAGAAUCUGGAGAAGGAUCAGGUCGACAAGGACCUCACCGAGAAGCUUGAGGCCCUGGAAUCCCUGCGGCUACAGGAGCAGGCGGCCCUGGAGACAGAGGAUGGAGAGGGGCUACAGCGGAGCCUAAGGGACCUGGCACAGGCCGUCCUGUCUGACGCUGAGAGCGGCAGCCUGCGUCCAACAGC
Long non-coding RNA from Homo sapiens (human), 1069 nucleotides. Lineage: Eukaryota; Metazoa; Chordata; Mammalia; Primates; Hominidae. The record is from Ensembl.